RNAcentral lists this ribosomal RNA (440 nucleotides) under uncultured bacterium. RNAcentral describes it as "partial 16S ribosomal RNA". It matches the Rfam family "Bacterial small subunit ribosomal RNA", at positions 338 to 795 of the family's 1533-position model. The record is from RNAcentral.
CCUACGUGAGGCAGCAGUGGGGGAUAUUGCACAAUGGGGGAAACCCUGAUGCAGCGACGCCGCGUGUGGGAAGACGGUCCUCUGGAUUGUAAACCACUGUCCCCAGGGACGAAGAUGACGGUACCUGGGGAGGAAGCUCCGGCUAACUACGUGCCAGCAGCCGCGGUAAAACGUAGGGAGCGAGCGUUGUCCGGAAUUACUGGGUGUAAAGGGAGCGUAGGCGGGACUGCAAGUUGGGUGUCAAAUCUACCGGCUCAACCGGUAGCCGCACUCAAAACUGCAGUUCUUGAGUGAAGUAGAGGCAGGCGGAAUUCCUAGUGUAGCGGUGAAAUGCGUAGAUAUUAGGAGGAACACCAGUGGCGAAGGCGGCCUGCUGGGCUUUUACUGACGCUGAGGCUCGAAAGUGUGGGGAGCAAACAGGAUUAGAUACCCUGGUAGUC